UUGCUAGGGAGAUUUCACACAUGUCCAGGUUCCUUAACACUUGUAUAAUCAUUUUAGGUGGCCAGAUAUUAGGAGACAACAGUUCAGUCCUUGACUUCGGCAAAGAAGAACCAGAGGAAGUGGACAUCAAAGCAGAGCCGCAAGAGUUCUUCCUGAUACCUGUGUGUGUGAAGAGUGAAGAGGAGGAGCCAGAGUCUUCUCUCCUUCAUCAAACAGUGGAAGAGGAGACCAGAGAGGACGCUGAAGGAGCAGGUUCAGACAAACAUCCAGAGAGUGAAGAACAUGGAGAGAGUUCUUCUGACACUGACGACUCUUCAGACUGGACUCCUUCAGCUGAAAGGCCCACUCCACAAACUCACACUCAGGUGUCCAGAUUUUCCAAGACAACAGUUCAGUCUUCACUUCAAGAAGAAGAACCAGAGGAAGUGGAAAUCAAAGCAGAGCCACAAGAGUUUCCACUGAUAACUGUGUGUGUGAAGAGUGAAGAGGAGGAUCCAGAGUCUUCCCUUCUGCAUCAAACAGUGAAAGAGGAGACCAGAGAGGACGCUGAUGGAGCAGGUUCAGACAAACAUCCAGAGAGUGAAGAACAUGGAGAGAGUUCUUCUGACACUGACGACUCUGCAGACUGGACUCCUUCAGCUGAAAGGCCCACUCCACAACUCACACUCAGGUCAACAAACAGCUGCAAGGACCAGCUCACAGGACUCAUGUUAGUAAAGAUGGAGUGACACUGUAGCCAAGUGCCACACAUGUUCCCACUGUGGAAAGGGAUUUGUAUUCCUCUCCAAAUUAAGAAUUCAUGAACGGAUUCACACAGGAGAGAAACCACACAAAUGUUCAGUCUGUGGAAAAGGUUUUAUACAAAACCAAAUCUAGACCGACAUAUGAAUACUCACACUGGAGAGAAACUAUUCAAGUGUUCAGUCUGUGAUAAAGGUUUUACUAAAAAACCUGAUCUAAAAUACACAUUAGAAGUCAUACAGGGGAGAGACCGUACAGAUUCAUGUUCA
Molecule: long non-coding RNA, 1010 nt
Filed under: Neogobius melanostomus (round goby)
Lineage: Eukaryota; Metazoa; Chordata; Actinopteri; Gobiiformes; Gobiidae
Description: lncRNA (ENSNMLG00000015537.1)
Source: RNAcentral